This 253-nucleotide ribosomal RNA is filed under the name uncultured bacterium. Its description in RNAcentral is "partial 16S ribosomal RNA". It matches the Rfam family "Bacterial small subunit ribosomal RNA", at positions 524 to 776 of the family's 1533-position model. The record is from RNAcentral.
UACGUAGGGGGCAAGCGUUGUCCGGAAUCAUUGGGCGUAAAGAGCGUGUAGGCGGCUCGAUAAGUCUGCUGUGAAAGUCCAGGGCUCAACCCUGGAAGGCCGGUGGAAACUGUCGGGCUAGAGUCCGGAAGAGGCGAGUGGAAUUCCCGGUGUAGCGGUGAAAUGCGCAGAUAUCGGGAGGAACACCAAUGGCGAAGGCAGCUCGCUGGGACGGUACUGACGCCGAGACGCGAAAGCGCGGGGAGCAAACAGG